This 675-nucleotide long non-coding RNA is filed under the name Numida meleagris (helmeted guineafowl). RNAcentral describes it as "lncRNA (ENSNMEG00000007933.1)". Lineage: Eukaryota; Metazoa; Chordata; Aves; Galliformes; Numididae. The record is from RNAcentral.
CUUCAAGUUUCCCAAGCAGCCAAAAAGCCUGUACCUCCACACAACAGAGUAAUACUUUCCUUGCUGCUGUCUCAAAACACUUUGCAAACAUUAAAGUCCAAACAGCUCUGUUUGAGAGAGAUAAGUACUGAACCAUAAUCAACUCCAUUACCUAUAGUGCUUUACCGUUCAGCUUUAAGCAGAAUUUCUACAGACCAGCAGCUGCAAAUUAAAGAAGGGAGAAAUGUGAGUGACUACUGUUUCACUCUUAUUGAGGUCACCGAGCUCGUAAAAUUCCUUUUACAUUUACUUGUGGCAUGGUCACCAAAAGCAAGCAGAAAUUCCCACCAUUCUGCUGUGGGUUCCAAUCAGGUAAUGAGAAGGCUUUACUUUCGUUUUUAUCCUCCCUUACCCUAGCAGUUAGCUCGUAUGUGCACAUAUUUCUUCAUUUGACUCUUUUAUGGUUGUUGCAGGUUUUUCCCAUCUUUUCCAUUCGUGUAGAGAAAAGAAAAUCCAUCUUCAGAUAGAAAGCAGAAACAAGGUCUGUUUCCUGAAGAACAUCUCCCUUGCAUUUACUGCCUCUCUUCUGGAAGGUGUUAGUCUCUAUGACAAUCCAGUCAUGUAAGUGUUAGUACUAAACAAACUCUCACUAGUAAAUUUGUAACUUGUUCUAAUUGAACCUCGUCUGGAAUGACA